Molecule: non-coding RNA, 101 nt
Organism: Triticum aestivum (bread wheat)
Lineage: Eukaryota; Viridiplantae; Streptophyta; Magnoliopsida; Poales; Poaceae
Source: Rfam
ACUUUUGCAAACUUAGUCCUGGCACUAUAAAUUUAAAAAUGUGCAUGUGAAAAUAUGCUCAUUAUAAAUUUGUAGUGUUCGGAUUGAGUUUAUAAUAGUCG